Molecule: ribosomal RNA, 497 nt
Filed under: uncultured bacterium
Lineage: Bacteria
Description: partial 16S ribosomal RNA
Rfam family: Bacterial small subunit ribosomal RNA
Source: RNAcentral
GAUGAACGCUGGCGGCGUGCCUAAUACAUGCAAGUCGAGCGAACGGACGAGAAGCUUGCUUCUCUGAUGUUAGCGGCGGACGGGUGAGUAACACGUGGAUAACCUACCUACAAGACUGGGAUAACUUCGGGAAACCGGAGCUAAUACCGGAUAAUAUUUUGAACCGCAUGGUUCAAAAGUGAAAGACGGUCUUGCUGUCACUUAUAGAUGGAUCCGCGCUGCAUUAGCUAGUUGGUAAGGUAACGGCUUACCAAGGCAACGAUGCAUAGCCGACCUGAGAGGGUGAUCGGCCACACUGGAACUGAGACACGGUCCAGACUCCUACGGGAGGCAGCAGUAGGGAAUCUUCCGCAAUGGGCGAAAGCCUGACGGAGCAACGCCGCGUGAGUGAUGAAGGUCUUCUGAUCGUAAAACUCUGUUAUUAGGGAAGAACAUAUGUGUAAGUAACUGUGCACAUCUUGACGGUACCUAAUCAGAAAGCCACGGCUAACUACGUG